Molecule: long non-coding RNA, 957 nt
Organism: Mercenaria mercenaria
Lineage: Eukaryota; Metazoa; Mollusca; Bivalvia; Venerida; Veneridae
Exons: 3
Source: RefSeq, a predicted model, not a curated record
CGGAAAAGCCCACACCACCGACAACCAUUAGCAUAAUGAGAUUUUACCCGUAAUGGCAGCAAACUAGCUCUAUCGACCAGUACUUUCACAAUCAGUUCAUGGAAUAACGGCUGCACUAGUAAUAGUGAGACAGCAAUCUGAGGAAAGCAAAGUAGGACCGUUCGCAAAAGACAAGAGAAUAUGACGGAACCAGCGGGAGCUCGAAAGCUUACAGACAGUCGAUAUUCGGUCUUCAACAAACCUGCACAAACAUCUACGAAACAACCUGUAUCUCCGAUUUUUGAAACACCUAUGAGAUUGGUUGUCAACACUGAUGGCAAGACAACUUUAAAUCACGAAACUCUAGCUUAACUCAGCAAAAUCGAGAAAACUCUAAACGUCGUAUCAGUGGUUGGGAGUCUGAGGACUGUAGAAUCAUAGCUUCAGUGCAACUGUCUGUUUUAGUUACCUGUUAUUAUACUUAAUUGUAUUUUGGAAACAUUCUAUUGAACCCAAUUUGAACAGCUUUUGUUGCACACACGUAUUUAAGAAACACAACGUUUCUGUCAUUUGUUCCUCCUAAACCCUGAACUACCAUAAAAAGAUAAUAGGUGAGGGUAGAUUUCUCGGAAGCACAGAGCACCGAAUACACAGCCCCAGAGCCACGCAUUUACAUAGUAGGCCCACAACAAAGAGAAGCUGUAAUGGAAAAAUAUUUCAGGCAGACGUUAAAAUUAAAAUUAAAUUUAGGCAGACGUUUCAAAUUCACUCAGAAAUGCUAAAGUUCUGUGUUUGCAAAGAUAUCCUGGCGUCUGGAUUAACAGACUCCUUUGUGUUGAAAUAAAUGCAAAGGAUACGACAGAUCAGGUUUACUAAAAAAGUAAUACAAUCAUUUCUGCAAACAUUCUAAACAAUUCAUAGCAUUUUCAAUCUACAAAUUUCUAAUAAAAGAUUAUUCUUAAUAUACAUAUUGAUACA